CGUAGGGUGAACCUGCGGAAGGAUCAUUACUGUGAUUUACUACUACACUGCGUGAGCGGAACGAAAACAACAACACCUAAAAUGUGGAAUAUAGCAUAUAGUCGACAAGAGAAAUCUACGAAAAAACAAACAAAACUUUCAACAACGGAUCUCUUGGUUCUCGCAUCGAUGAAGAGCGCAGCGAAAUGCGAUACCUAGUGUGAAUUGCAGCCAUCGUGAAUCAUCGAGUUCUUGAACGCACAUUGCGCCCCUCGGCAUUCCGGGGGGCAUGCCUGUUUGAGCGUCGUUUCCAUCUUGCGCGUGCGCAGAGUUGGGGGAGCGGAGCGGACGACGUGUAAAGAGCGUCGGAGCUGCGACUCGCCUGAAAGGGAGCGAAGCUGGCCGAGCGAACUAGACUUUUUUUCAGGGACGCUUGGCGGCCGAGAGCGAGUGUUGCGAGACAACAAAAAGCUCGACCUCAAAUCAGGUAGGAAUACCCGCUGAACUUAAGCAUAUCAAUAAGCGGAAGA
RNAcentral lists this ribosomal RNA (509 nucleotides) under Pichia kudriavzevii. RNAcentral's name for it is "eukaryotic LSU rRNA". The stretch from base 134 to 286 matches the Rfam family "5.8S ribosomal RNA". Lineage: Eukaryota; Fungi; Ascomycota; Pichiomycetes; Pichiales; Pichiaceae. The record is from RNAcentral.